RNAcentral lists this long non-coding RNA (455 nucleotides) under Homo sapiens (human). RNAcentral describes it as "non-protein coding lnc-ICOSLG-13:1". The record is from RNAcentral. Lineage: Eukaryota; Metazoa; Chordata; Mammalia; Primates; Hominidae.
GCCUCCGGCUCUGAUCGCCCAGAGGGCGCACGGGGUUUGGUGCAGCCUCUGAUGGGCACGAGGCGGCCGCACGGGAUGAGCACAGUGGGCGUCCCUUCCCCAUGGCCAGGACUCCAGGCUGGAAUGUGGAGGUUCCCGAAACCCACACUGGAAGGCACCCCAUGGAAGCCAGGAGCAACGGCCAGGCUCAGAUAGAACAUUUAGAAAGAACUCUGGCGGGCAACCGUGGGUGGCAGAGUCACAGCUAAUUCACAAUUUACAGCCAAGACUGUCCCUGAUCCAGUCUAGAGAGAACCUGUUAAGGAAAAAUUAUCCUGGUGCUUAUCGUAAUGGCAAGGAAGACUUCAUUAUGGACUCCCGCAGUGAGGGAGAGACGGGCUCUAUGUUGGGUGCAGCAGGACAAGGGGGGUUCACAGCCGAGAAGUGAGGGGGUCCGUGGCUGGAAAAUCACCAGG